RNAcentral lists this ribosomal RNA (575 nucleotides) under uncultured low G+C Gram-positive bacterium. Its description in RNAcentral is "bacterial SSU rRNA". It matches the Rfam family "Bacterial small subunit ribosomal RNA", at positions 932 to 1504 of the family's 1533-position model. Lineage: Bacteria; Bacillati; Bacillota. The record is from RNAcentral.
GUGGAGCAUGUGGUUUAAUUCGAAGCAACGCGAAGAACCUUACCAAAUCUUGACAUCCUUUGACCGCUCUAGAGAUAGAGUUUUCCCCUUCGGGGGACAAAGUGACAGGUGGUGCAUGGUUGUCGUCAGCUCGUGUCGUGAGAUGUUGGGUUAAGUCCCGCAACGAGCGCAACCCUUAAGCUUAGUUGCCAUCAUUAAGUUGGGCACUCUAAGUUGACUGCCGGUGACAAACCGGAGGAAGGUGGGGAUGACGUCAAAUCAUCAUGCCCCUUAUGAUUUGGGCUACACACGUGCUACAAUGGACAAUACAAAGGGCAGCUAAACCGCGAGGUCAAGCAAAUCCCAUAAAGUUGUUCUCAGUUCGGAUUGUAGUCUGCAACUCGACUACAUGAAGCUGGAAUCGCUAGUAAUCGUAGAUCAGCAUGCUACGGUGAAUACGUUCCCGGGUCUUGUACACACCGCCCGUCACACCACGAGAGUUUGUAACACCCGAAGCCGGUGGAGUAACCAUUUAUGGAGCUAGCCGUCGAAGGUGGGACAAAUGAUUGGGGUGAAGUCGUAACAAGGUAACCGUA